Molecule: unclassified non-coding RNA, 1968 nt
Filed under: Hevea brasiliensis (rubber tree)
Lineage: Eukaryota; Viridiplantae; Streptophyta; Magnoliopsida; Malpighiales; Euphorbiaceae
Source: RNAcentral
AGAGAGAGAGAGAAAGAGGUAACUCCAUGGCCAGCUUUCUAAAUCUGGUCAAGAGGACAUGUUAUGGAGAGCUGCUCCACAGGACUGGUUACCAUUUACCAGCUUACCAUGCAAGAGCUCAACAAAUCCAUUUUAAGGCAGUUUAAUAGAUAAUUAAUAUCAGUUUGAUGUGAAAAUCCACAAUAACUCUAUCAGUGCUUGCAAAACAGCAAAAACACGCGCUACUUUAACAGGGAUACUACAGUGUAAUACGUGGUUUCCAGAAAGCUGAUGUAAAGCAAAAACCUAUACUGAUGAUUAUUUUAGUUUUGAGAAAAGCAACAUCUUGAAAAAGUUCAGCAAUCCCACCAUAUGUUGUAAUGAAAACCAAGUGCAAUAACCACAUCACUUGUGUUGUUCUUGUUUACAACUUCAUUCAGGACAAUGACAUUCAACCAUCCAUCUUAUUGGUGCCAUUGGUUGUUUCUGGUUAAAUAUUAAUGAGGGACUUCUCAUGAUGAUGUCUGUCCUGCAGAAAGACACAAUGAUCAACAAGCAUUAAAACUGAAGAAUUGGCAGAAACGAAGAGAACAAAUAAAUUAGGGAAAUGAGAAAUGCAAUAUAGCAGCUCUAAGCCAGAUAGCAUUGGAUACUGUCAUUUCAAAAACUAAUUCAAUAACCACUCGGCAAGACCAAAGGAAAUAUGGCAACGUAAUAAAUAUGGCUGAAAAUUAACACUUAAUAUCGAGAUAUUCCUAGUAUCAAAUUUUCAAUAGCUGAUCCAAUGGUUCUUCUAUAAUUUCAAAUUUAAUACAUUUCCUGGUCCAUUAUAUGGUUGCCUUCAUCUUCUUGUGUUUUUCAGCAAUUACACAUACAGGCAAAUGAAGGAAAAGGGAAAUAGGCAAAGGCAUAACAAACAUUUUGCUGUUGCCAAAUUCAUUUACUACCGAUAUGAUGUAAUAUUGAAUUUGUUUAAAGAAACAUAGGAACUCAUAUAUGCCAGUAUGAAAUUAGUUGUUUCUUUUUCUGUUUAAUUUGGUUGGCUCUGAUGAACAUGCCUAGCCCCACUCAUUUUUCCUGCCUAAAGUAUUUACACUCGCAAAGCUCAAUAUUUUUCAUCCAAUUCCAAAAGAUCUACAGGUCUAUAGAGUAUUUUCUGACUGUAAUUGUGCCAUAAAAAUUAUAUAUUUUCACCAAAUGAAGUUCCAAGAAGUGCUCCCAGGAAGUUAUAGAUUCUUGUAACUUUUUUCUAUAUUUAUUUUGAUGGUUAUAAACUCUUCAGGUGGACCUUCUUUUAGUUAUUUUGAUGGUCAUCAGGUAGUUCAUGGUUACAUAAACAGAGGCUCUUCUUGCAUAAUUUCUAAACAGUGCAAUUCUUAGAAGUACUGGCCUAGGAUUAAAUAUAUGUAAACUGCAAAAUUACAACAGAAUCUCCUUAACUCCUCUCCCUUUCUCACUUCAUUUUUCCUCAUCUACUUUUCCAACCAAGAAGUAAAAUAAAACCAAAUAAAAUAGGCCCUGAAAACUGUGCCUGUAUAGUGCAAACAAGAACUAUAAUUUAUAAUGUAACAAGAAUGAGAGUGUACUGCACCUGGGUGUGCACAAACUCCGAGAACCAAAUUGCAGCUGAAUCUAGCUACUUCUCAAUUAAGCUCCCAUUUAGGUCUCAGGGCUUGUGCACAGAAGCACAAAUGAUACCAAACAGGCUCCAAAUACUUUUGUUGAGUUAAUUUUGCAGCAAACACAUGUUGGACAAAAAAGUACACUUCUAUUCCAAAAACAUUUAGCACAUAUACCAACCAAACAAGAAAAAGAAGCUUAAAGCAAAAAAAGGAGAAAGCCUAUGGAAGAAGAGGUUCAAGCACUAAAACAAAGUGGACCUUGGGAGUUGACGACAAUGCAAAGCCUGCCAAUAUAAAACUCAACAUAGCGGAUCAAUUGAAAGAUAUAUGGCUUGGUCUUCUUAAAAAAAAGGAAAAAAAAAAAAAA